Molecule: ribosomal RNA, 497 nt
Filed under: uncultured bacterium
Lineage: Bacteria
Description: partial 16S ribosomal RNA
Rfam family: Bacterial small subunit ribosomal RNA
Source: RNAcentral
GAUGAACGCUGGCGGCGUGCCUAAUACAUGCAAGUGGAGCGAACAGACGAGGAGCUUGCUCCUCUGACGUUAGCGGCGGACGGGUGAGUAACACGUGGAUAACCUACCUAUAAGACUGGGAUAACUUCGGGAAACCGGAGCUAAUACCGGAUAAUAUAUUGAACCGCAUGGUUCAAUAGUGAAAGACGGUUUUGCUGUCACUUAUAGAUGGAUCCGCGCCGCAUUAGCUAGUUGGUAAGGUAACGGCUUACCAAGGCGACGAUGCGUAGCCGACCUGAGAGGGUGAUCGGCCACACUGGAACUGAGACACGGUCCAGACUCCUACGGGAGGCAGCAGUAGGGAAUCUUCCGCAAUGGGCGAAAGCUUGACGGAGCAACGCCGCGUGAGUGAUGAAGGUCUUCGGAUCGUAAAACUCUGUUAUUAGGGAAGAACAAAUGUGUAAGUAACUAUGCACGUCUUGACGGUACCUAAUCAGAAAGCCACGGCUAACUACGUG